UUUUUUUUUUUUUUUUAUUUUCCCGCAGAUGACGCUGGCGGCGUGCCUAAUACAUGCAAGUCGAACGAACUUCCGUUAAUUGAUUAUGACGUACUUGUACUGAUUGAGAUUUUAACACGAAGUGAGUGGCGAACGGGUGAGUAACACGUGGGUAACCUGCCCAGAAGUAGGGGAUAACACCUGGAAACAGAUGCUAAUACCGUAUAACAGAGAAAACCGCAUGGUUUUCUUUUAAAAGAUGGCUCUGCUAUCACUUCUGGAUGGACCCGCGGCGUAUUAGCUAGUUGGUGAGGUAAAGGCUCACCAAGGCAGUGAUACGUAGCCGACCUGAGAGGGUAAUCGGCCACAUUGGGACUGAGACACGGCCCAGACUCCUACGGGAGGCAGCAGUAGGGAAUCUUCCACAAUGGACGCAAGUCUGAUGGAGCAACGCCGCGUGAGUGAAGAAGGGUUUCGGCUCGUAAAGCUCUGUUGUUAAAGAAGAACGUGGGUAAGAGUAACUGUUUACCCAGUGACGGUAUUUAACCAGAAAGCCACGGCUAACUACGUGCCAGCAGCCGCGGUAAUACGUAGGUGGCAAGCGUUAUCCGGAUUUAUUGGGCGUAAAGCGAGCGCAGGCGGUCUUUUAAGUCUAAUGUGAAAGCCUUCGGCUCAACCGAAGAAGUGCAUUGGAAACUGGGAGACUUGAGUGCAGAAGAGGACAGUGGAACUCCAUGUGUAGCGGUGAAAUGCGUAGAUAUAUGGAAGAACACCAGUGGCGAAGGCGGCUGUCUGGUCUGCAACUGACGCUGAGGCUCGAAAGCAUGGGUAGCGAACAGGAUUAGAUACCCUGGUAGUCCAUGCCGUAAACGAUGAUUACUAAGUGUUGGAGGGUUUCCGCCCUUCAGUGCUGCAGCUAACGCAUUAAGUAAUCCGC
Molecule: ribosomal RNA, 916 nt
Filed under: Pediococcus pentosaceus
Lineage: Bacteria; Bacillati; Bacillota; Bacilli; Lactobacillales; Lactobacillaceae
Description: bacterial SSU rRNA
Rfam family: Bacterial small subunit ribosomal RNA
Source: RNAcentral